RNAcentral lists this ribosomal RNA (524 nucleotides) under Basidiomycota sp. Z-24. RNAcentral's name for it is "eukaryotic LSU rRNA". The stretch from base 135 to 288 matches the Rfam family "5.8S ribosomal RNA". The record is from RNAcentral. Lineage: Eukaryota; Fungi; Basidiomycota.
CCUGCGGAAGGAUCAUGUAAAUGAUUGGCCUAACGGCCUUAUCAACAUAAUCCCUCACCUCUGUGAACCGUUGACCUCCGGGUCUACAUAACAAACAUCAGUGUGAAGAACGUCUUUAUAUUUUAACAAAAUAAAACUUUCAACAACGGAUCUCUUGGCUCUCGCAUCGAUGAAGAACGCAGCGAAAUGCGAUAAGUAAUGUGAAUUGCAGAAUUCAGUGAAUCAUCGAAUCUUUGAACGCACCUUGCGCCUUUUGGUAUUCCGAAAGGCAUGCCUGUUUGAGUGUCAUGAAAUCUCAAUCCCCCCGGGUUUUCUGAACCCGAGGUGGACUUGGACAUGGGUGUCUGCCGUCUCGUACGGCUCGCCUUAAAUGACUCAGUGGGAUCUUCAGCAUCCGUGGCAGACGUAAUAAGUUUCGUCUCGUCCCUUGCUGUGAGGACCGCUCAUAACCUGCCAUCGCGCACCACUUUUGACUCUGACCUCAAAUCAGGUAGGACUACCCGCUGAACUUAAGCAUAUCAAAG